Molecule: ribosomal RNA, 343 nt
Filed under: uncultured eukaryote
Lineage: Eukaryota
Description: SSU rRNA
Rfam family: Eukaryotic small subunit ribosomal RNA
Source: RNAcentral
AUUGUAGUCAUAUGCUUGUCUCAAAGAUUAAGCCAUGCAUGUCUAAGUAUAAGCAACUUUGUACUGUGAAACUGCGAAUGGCUCAUUAAAUCAGUUAUAGUUUAUUUGAUGGUUUUUGCUACAUGGAUAACUGUGGUAAUUCUAGAGCUAAUACAUGCAUUCAAGCCCCGACUUCUGGAAGGGGUGUAUUUAUUAGAUAAAAAUCAACUUUGUUGGUGAAUCAUAAUAACUUCUCGGACCGCAUGGCCUUGUGCUGGCGGUGCUUCAUUCAAAUAUCUGCCCUAUCAACUGUCGAUGGUAGGAUAGAGGCCUACCAUGGUUGCAACGGGUAACGGGGAAUAAU